CCUACGGGGGGCAGCAGUGAGGAAUAUUGGUCAAUGGGCGCGAGCCUGAACCAGCCAAGUCGCGUGAGGGAGGACGGCCCUACGGGUUGUAAACCUCUUUUGCCGGGGAGCAACGGGCGUCACGCGUGGCUCCACUAAGAGUACCCGGAGAAAAAGCAUCGGGUAACUCCGUGCCAGAAGCCGCGGUAGUACGGGGGAUGCAAGCUUUACCGGGUUUUAUGGGGUUUAAAGGGUGCGUAGGCGGAGCGUUAAGUCAGUGGUCAAACUGAGGGGUCAAACCCCUUCCCGCCAUUGAAACUGGCGUUCUAGAGAGGAAGAGAAGUAUGCGGAAUGCGUGGUGUAGCGGUGAAAUGCAUAGAUAUCACGCAGAACCCCGAUUGCGAAGGCAGCAUGCCGGCUUCCGACUGACGCUGAGGCACGAAAGCGUGGGGAUCGAACAGGAUUAGAUACCCCAGUAGUC
RNAcentral lists this ribosomal RNA (460 nucleotides) under uncultured bacterium. RNAcentral describes it as "partial 16S ribosomal RNA". It matches the Rfam family "Bacterial small subunit ribosomal RNA", at positions 338 to 795 of the family's 1533-position model. The record is from RNAcentral.